This 433-nucleotide ribosomal RNA is filed under the name uncultured bacterium. RNAcentral's name for it is "partial 16S ribosomal RNA". It matches the Rfam family "Bacterial small subunit ribosomal RNA", at positions 29 to 507 of the family's 1533-position model. The record is from RNAcentral.
AACGAACGCUGGCGGCAUGCCUAACACAUGCAAGUCGAACGAGACCUUCGGGUCUAGUGGCGCACGGGUGCGUAACGCGUGGGAACCUGCCCUUAGGUUCGGAAUAACUCCCCGAAAGGGGUGCUAAUACCGGAUAAUGUCUUCGGACCAAAGAUUUAUCGACUUUGGGUGGGCCCGCGUUGGAUUAGCUAGUUGGUAGGGUAAAAGCCUACCAAGGCGACGAUCCAUAGCUGGUCUGAGAGGAUGAUCAGCCACACUGGGACUGAGACACGGCCCAGACUCCUACGGGAGGCAGCAGUGGGGAAUAUUGGACAAUGGGCGAAAGCCUGAUCCAGCAAUGCCGCGUGAGUGAUGAAGGCCUUAGGGUUGUAAAGCUCUUUUACCCGGGAUGAUAAUGACAGUACCGGGAGAAUAAGCUCCGGCUAACUCCGUG